UGUCAAGCCCCCAAAACACCUGGUACGGGAAGACAAGAAAUCUCUGGCUGAAGAGCCUUGACAUAGAAGAAGCUUGGUUUUCUACAAGAAGAGAAAGAGCUAGUCAAGUGAUGCAGAGACAUUCUUUCAUGUUCUAGACACAGCAUUCAGUGUGGACAUCCCUCCUCUUGCUUACAAGUGGUUAAAGAGAACCGCAACAAAGAAUAUUUAUGGACUACAACUAAGCCUGCGCCUCUCAGGUAAAAAGCAUAUAAAGCCACGUUACCAUCCUCGUAAUACACCAGGAUUUCCUAAUGAGUUUGUCUGCAAUAAGAGACAGAAGCAUCAGUUAAUAUAUAAAAAAAAUCUUUUGUUUCAGUAAUAUCUUAAGAAACAAAUUGCAUCAGGAACUUUCCCAUGAAUAUAAGAAUGAUGUAAACUAUGUUAUUUCUCCAGAAAACUAAGGGUGGUUGGAUGUGCCAAUGCCAGAGAAGUCCAGCUAAAAGGAAUGUAAUGCACCUAGGGAGAAAAUAGCCUGCACCCCAUGUCUCACGUCCUGGACUUGGAGCUGGUGCUGGGACUGAGGAAAUGUCGGUUCCUUGCUGAUGGCACUGGGAAAUCACGGGCUUCAUGUGCCAUAGCCAUACGGGGACACGAUCUGACAGGAGGGCAUUUUUUCCAUUCCUAGGUGCACUCCUGCACCGUUUAAAGCAUUUCUACCACUAAAACGUAAGGUAC
Struthio camelus australis is the source of this 717-nucleotide non-coding RNA. NCBI's taxonomy places the organism in Eukaryota, Metazoa, Chordata, Aves, Struthioniformes, Struthionidae. The record is from RefSeq and is a predicted model, not a curated record.